UACGUAGGGGCCGAGCGUUGUCCGGAGUUAUUGGGCGUAAAGCGCGCGCAGGCGGCCUCGCGCGCCCGACGUGAAAGCCCCCGGCUUAACCGGGGAGGGUCGUUGGGGACGGCGGGGCUUGAGGGCGGGAGAGGGCGGUGGAAUUCCCGGUGUAGUGGUGAAAUGCGUAGAGAUCGGGAGGAACACCUGUGGCGAAGGCGGCCGUCUGGGCCGACCCUGACGCUGAGGCGCGAAGGCGUGGGGAGCGAGCGGG
This 253-nucleotide ribosomal RNA is filed under the name uncultured bacterium. RNAcentral describes it as "partial 16S ribosomal RNA". It matches the Rfam family "Bacterial small subunit ribosomal RNA", at positions 524 to 776 of the family's 1533-position model. The record is from RNAcentral.